GAUGAAGAACGUAGCGAAGUGCGAUAAGUAAUGUGAAUUGCAGAAUUCAGUGAAUCAUCGAAUCUUUGAACGCACAUUGCGCCCGCCAGUAUUCUGGCGGGCAUGCCUGUUCGAGCGUCAUUACAACCCUCAGGCCCCCGGGCCUGGCGUUGGGGAUCGGCGGAAGCCCCCUGUGGGCACACGCCGUCCCUCAAAUACAGUGGCGGUCCCGCCGCAGCUUCCAUUGCGUAGUAGCUAACACCUCGCAACUGGAGAGCGGCGCGGCCAUGCCGUAAAACACCCAACUUCUGAAUGUUGACCUCGAAUCAGGUAGGAAUACCCGCUGAACUUAAGCAUAUCAAUAAGCGGAGGA
Molecule: unclassified non-coding RNA, 352 nt
Filed under: soil metagenome
Description: partial contains 5.8S ribosomal RNA, internal transcribed spacer 2, and large subunit ribosomal RNA
Rfam family: 5.8S ribosomal RNA (bases 1-120)
Source: RNAcentral